This 3012-nucleotide ribosomal RNA is filed under the name Syncephalastrum monosporum B8922. RNAcentral's name for it is "eukaryotic LSU rRNA". It matches the Rfam family "Eukaryotic large subunit ribosomal RNA". Lineage: Eukaryota; Fungi; Mucoromycota; Mucoromycetes; Mucorales; Syncephalastraceae. The record is from RNAcentral.
UUAGUAUCUUUUGUAUUGGCCUGUUCAAGAGUCAGGUUGUUUGGGAAUGCAGCCUAAAGCUGGAGGUAAAUCCCUCCUGAAGCUAAAUAAAGGCGAGAGACCGAUAGCGAACAAGUACCGUGAGGGAAAGAUGAAAAGAACUCUGAAGAGAGAGUUAAACAGUACGUGAAAUUGCUUAAAGGGAACCAUAUAAAGCUAGGAUGCGAUUGUUUUUUCUUCAGGUUGAGCUUUGGCUUGACUGUUUAGAAGGAUAAUCCGAGACAACAAGAAUUGGAGGAGGAGAAUAAGCCGUUGGGGAAGGUAGUCCUCAGGAUCCGGGAAACAUAUAGACCUGACGGUUUGCGCUCUUCUUUUUCGAUUGAGGCACGCUUUUUUAAAGGUUGUUGUCUGAAUGGCUUUAUAUGACCCGUCUUGAAACACGGGCCAAGGAGUCCACCUAAUGUGCGAGUAUUUGGGAGGCAAACCCAUAUGCGCAAUGAAAGUGACUUAAACCUAUGAGGGGGUCCCUUUGGGGCCUCUGCAAUAGGGUCGGGCAGCGACGUUUUAUGCCCAGAUAAAGCACAUUGGGUGGGACCCGAAAGAUGGUGAACUAUGCUUGGAUAGGGUGAAGCCAAAGGAGACUUUGGUGGAGGCUCGUAGCGGUUCUGACGUGCAAAUCGAUCGUCGAAUCUGAGCAUAGGGGCGAAAGACUAAUCGAACCAUCUGAUAGCUGGUUCCUGCCGAAGUUUCCCUCAGGAUAGCAGAAGUAAACGGCAGUUUUAUGAGGUAUAGCGAACGAUUGGAGGCCUUGGGGGCGCAAUACCCUUAACCUGCUCUCAAGCUACAAAUUGUAAGACGGCAGGCUUUCUUGAUUGAAGUCUGUCCAUUGAAUGCCUUACUUCUAGUGGGCCACUUUUGGUAAACAGAAUUGGCGAUGCGGGAUGAACCGAACGCAAGGUUAAGGCGCCGGAAUCCACGCUCACAGACACCACAGAAAGGUGUUGGUUCAUCUUGACAGCAGGACGGUGGCCAUGGAAGUCGGAACCCGCUAAGGAGUGUGUAGCAACUCACCUGCCGAAUGAACCGGCCCUGAAAAUGGAUGGCGCUCAAGCGUGGUGCCCAUACCUUGCCAUUGGAGUGUAUUGGAAGCUCCAAUGAGUAGGCAGGCGUGGAGGUUCUGUUGUAAAGCUUUGGGUGUGAACCUGAGUGGAACAGCCUCCAGUGCAGAUCUUGGUGGUAGUAGCAAAUAUUCAAGCGAGAACCUUGAAGACUGAAGUGGAGAAGGGUUCCUGGGGAACAGCAGUUGGCCCAGGGUGAGUCGAUCCUAAGAGAUAGGGAAGUUCCGUUUUACUCAAGCGUGUCAUUCUAUGACGCCUCCUAUCGAAAGGGAAUCAGGUCAAAAUUCCUGAACCAGAACAUGGAUGCGUUAGACGGCAACGUAAAUGAACUUGGAUACGUUGGGUCGGGUCCCGGAAAGAGUUUUCUUUUCUUUCUAACGUUCUGCUUGAUCGUGAACGCUGUUCAUCAGGAGCAACGAUUAAGCAUUCGGAAGAGCACAGUAUCUUUCUUGCUGUGUCCGGUGCAUUCGAAACAAUCCUUGAAAAUCCAAGGGAACUUUGAGCUUCUGCUCAGUUUCAUGUCUGGUCGUACCCAUAACCGCAGCAGGUCUCCUGGGUGAAAAGCCUCUAGUGGAUGGAAUAAGGUGGAUAAGGGAAGUCAGCAAACUAGAUCCGUAACUUCGGGAUAAGGAUUGGCUUCAAGGGUUGGGCUGGUUCUGUACUUGAGUCCUUGGGUUCGGGAUCGUGGCGCAAGCCAGACAGGCCGGCAAUUAACAACCAACUUGGAACUGGUACGGACAAGGGGAAUCCGACUGUCUAAUUAAAACAUAGCAUUGCGAUGGCCAGAAAGUGGUGUUGAUGCAAUGUGAUUUCUGCCCAGUGCUUUGAAUGUCAAAGUGAAGAAAUUCAACCAAGCGCGGGUGAACGGCGGGAGCAACUAGGGUCCCUUAAGGUCGCCAAUGCCCGUCAUCUAGCUAAUGACGCGGUCAAUGGAUUGAACGAGAUUCCCACUGUCCCUAUCCACCAUCCAGCGAAACCACAGCCAAGGGAAUGGUCUUGGCAUAUUCAGCAGGGAAAGAAGACCCUGUCGAGCUUGACUCUAGUUUGGCAUUGUGAAGAGACGCAGAGCGGCACAGAGAUGAGGGAGACUGGGAUUCGCGGUUACAGGUACUGCGUUUGCUUGGUCGCCAGUGAGAUACCUCAACGUCUAGUGUUCUCUUCACUUAGAUUAUCAAGUGGGGGUGUCUGGACUCACGUUCGGCAUUCUAGCAUUAAGCCUUCUUGGAAGGUCACCCAAGUAAUUGACAGUGUCAGAUGGGGAGUUUGGCUGGGGCGGCACAUCUGUUAAACAAUAUAGCAGAUGUCCUAAGGGGGGCUCAACGAGAUUAGAACUCUCGUGUAGAGCAAAAGGGCAAAAGCCUCCUUGAUUCGGAUUUUCAGCGUGAAUACGAACCCUGAAAGGGUGGCCUAUCGAUCCUUUAUGUCCUCAGGAUUUGAGGCUAGAGGUGCCGGAAAAGUUACCGCAGGGGCAACUGGCUUGUGGCAACUGAGCGUACCAGCGACGUUGCUUUUUUGAUUCUUCGAUGUUCGGCUCUUCCUAUCAUACUGAAGCAGAAUUCAGUAAGCGUUGGAUUGUUCACCCACUAACAGGGAACGUGAGCUGGGAUAAGACCGUCGUGAGACAGGUCAGUUUUACCCUACUGAAGACGAUAUGUUGUCGUAACAGUAAUUGAAGUUAGUACGAGAGGAACCCUUUAUUCAGAUAAUUGGUUUAUGCGGCUGGUUGAGAGGCCAAUGCCGCGAAGCUACCAUCUGCUGGAUAACAGCUGAACACCUCUAAGCUGGAAUCCAUGCUGGUUGAUGCGACAAUUCAGCCUUCUUUCUGGGAUAGAAAGUAUGAAUAAGGAGGAUGCAGCUGCAUACCUGAAAACUACAGUUUUGGGCGGUUGCCUCCCUUCAUGGAAGAAUGGGAGGA